AGUGAACGCUGGCGGCGUGCUUAACACAUGCAAGUCGAACGAGAACGGAAUAUAGCUUGCUAUAUUUGUCAGCUAAGUGGCGCACGGGUGAGUAAUGUAUAGAUAACCUGCCCUUAAGAAAGGAAUAACAGUUGGAAACGACUGCUAAUGCCCUAUAUGCCUUUAAUACAUAAGUAUGCAAGGGAAACGCUUUAGUGCUUAAGGAUGGGUCUGUAUGGUAUCAGCUUGUUGGUGAGGUAAUGGCUCACCAAGGCUAUGACGCCUAACUGGUUUGAGAGGAUGAUCAGUCACACUGGAACUGAGACACGGUCCAGACUCCUACGGGAGGCAGCAGUGGGGAAUAUUGCACAAUGGACGAAAGUCUGAUGCAGCAACGCCGCGUGGAGGAUGACACAUUUCGGUGCGUAAACUCCUUUAUAUUAGGAAGAUAAUGACGGUACUAUAUGAAUAAGCACCGGCUAACUCCGUG
Molecule: ribosomal RNA, 469 nt
Filed under: uncultured bacterium
Lineage: Bacteria
Description: bacterial SSU rRNA
Rfam family: Bacterial small subunit ribosomal RNA
Source: RNAcentral